This 275-nucleotide ribosomal RNA is filed under the name uncultured bacterium. RNAcentral's name for it is "partial 16S ribosomal RNA". It matches the Rfam family "Bacterial small subunit ribosomal RNA", at positions 338 to 629 of the family's 1533-position model. The record is from RNAcentral.
CCUACGGGUGGCAGCAGUAGGGAAUUUUCCACAAUGGACGAAAGUCUGAUGGAGCAACGCCGCGUGCAGGAUGAAGGCUCUUGGGUCGUAAACUGCUUUUAUAGGUGACGAAUAUGACGGUAACCUAUGAAUAAGCCUCGGCUAAUUCCGUGCCAGCAGCCGCGGUCAUACGGAAGAGGCAAGCGUUAUCCGGAAUUACUGGGCGUAAAGAGUUGCGUAGGCGGCAUGGUAAGUCAGCAGUGAAAGCGUGGGGCUCAACCCCAUAUACAUUGUUG